RNAcentral lists this transfer RNA (71 nucleotides) under Rasbora trilineata (scissor-tailed rasbora). Its description in RNAcentral is "tRNA-Asp". It matches the Rfam family "tRNA". Rfam says of the family: Transfer RNA (tRNA) molecules are approximately 80 nucleotides in length. Their secondary structure includes four short double-helical elements and three loops (D, anti-codon, and T loops). Lineage: Eukaryota; Metazoa; Chordata; Actinopteri; Cypriniformes; Danionidae. The record is from RNAcentral.
GAGAUAUUAGUAAAAUAGAUUACACCACCUUGUCAAGGUGAAAUUAUGGGUUAAAUUCCCAUAUAUCUCUA